CCUACGGGCGGCUGCAGUCGAGAAUCAUUCACAAUGGGGGAAACCCUGAUGGUGCGACGCCGCGUGGGGGAAUGAAGGUCUUCGGAUUGUAAACCCCUGUCAUGUGGGAGCAAAUUAAAAAGAUAGUACCCCAAGAGGAAGAGACGGCUAACUCUGUGCCAGCAGCCGCGGUAAUACAGAGGUCUCAAGCGUUGUUCGGAAUCACUGGGCGUAAAGCGUGCGUAGGCUGUUUCGUAAGUCGUGUGUGAAAGGCGCGGGCUCAACCCGCGGACGGCACAUGAUACUGCGAGACUAGAGUAAUGGAGGGGGAACCGGAAUUCUCGGUGUAGCAGUGAAAUGCGUAGAUAUCGGGAGGAACACUCGUGGCGAAGGCGGGUUCCUGGACAUUAACUGACGCUGAGGCACGAAGGCCAGGGGAGCGAAAGGGAUUAGAUACCCGAGUAGUC
RNAcentral lists this ribosomal RNA (446 nucleotides) under uncultured bacterium. Its description in RNAcentral is "partial 16S ribosomal RNA". It matches the Rfam family "Bacterial small subunit ribosomal RNA", at positions 338 to 795 of the family's 1533-position model. The record is from RNAcentral.